Molecule: ribosomal RNA, 949 nt
Filed under: uncultured Cenococcum
Lineage: Eukaryota; Fungi; Ascomycota; Dothideomycetes; Gloniales; Gloniaceae
Description: eukaryotic LSU rRNA
Rfam family: 5.8S ribosomal RNA (bases 662-816)
Source: RNAcentral
CUUCCGCAGUGUACACUUGUAGAAGCCUUUGCAGCCACGCAAGUGGUAGAUCCAAGCGACUUUAAACAAUUCCAGGAUCGCUAUGCAAGUCGGGCCACGCAUGUGGUGCCGGCGACACUUUCGAAUUGACGGGGACACCCUAAAGCCUGUCGCACCAACUCUGGGUGGGAAACCGCCCGAGGGCCCGUGCUAACUACACGGGGUGGUAACAGACGACAUGGAUACUUCCACGCCUUUGGUGUGGAUAUAUGGGCAAUCCGCAGCGAAGCCUCUAAGUCCGGCCGCCGGAUAUGAGGAACGUUCACAGACUAAGUGGAAGUGGGUGGAGCGUUUGCCGCUCUGCUUAAGAUAUAGUCGGGCCCCUUGGGAAACCAAGGGGGUGAGUACACUGCUUGAAAUUCAAACAGGAACGUGCCCGGUCUCGGAGAGCGCUCGUGUUAUAGAAUUUCGAGACUGUCGAUUGCCUCGCGGUUUGACAGCUCUUAAAACGUUCCGUAGGUGAACCUGCGGAAGGAUCAUUACAGAAAGUAAACGCGGGUCAAACCGCGAACUUCUAAACCUUUGACGAUCGACUCAUGUUGCCUCGGCGGGUUCGCCCGCCAGAGGAUACAUCAAAACUCCUGUUUUAACGGUGUUGUCUGAGCUACAAGCAACGAAUCAAAACUUUCAACAACGGAUUCUCUUGGAUCUGGCAUCGAUGAAGAACGCAGCGAAAUGCGAUAAGUAGUGUGAAUUGCAGAAUUCAGUGAAUCAUCGAAUCUUUGAACGCACAUUGCGCCCCUUGGUAUCCCGAGGGGCAUGCCUGUUCGAGCGUCAUUUCACCACUCAAGCCUGGCUUGGUGUUGGGCGACGUCCGCUUUUGGGGACGCGUCUCGAAACGCUCGGCGGCGUGGCACCGGCUUUAAGCGUAGCAGAAUCUUUCGCUUUGAAAGUCGGGGCCCCGUCUGCC